GGAGUUGGCGAGGUGGUUGCGGGCUGGCCUUGGCUGGCCUGAGGAAAGUCCGGGCUCCCGAAAGACCAGACUUGCUGGGUAACGCCCAGUGCGGGUGACCGUGAGGAGAGUGCCACAGAAACAUACCGCCGAUGGCCUUGGGGUGUCUCCAGGCACAGGUAAGGGUGCAAGGGUGCGGUAAGAGCGCACCAGCAGCAUCGAGAGGUGCUGGCUCGGUAAACCCCGGUUGGGAGCAAGGUCGAAGGGGCAAGGGUUGGUCUUUUUCCUGUCCCGUCUUUGCGUACCGCAGGAGGCGGCUGGUAACAGUCGUCCCAGAUAGAUAACCGCCCCCCGGCAACGGGGAACAGAACCCGGCUUAUGUCCGACUCCUUCC
Molecule: RNase P RNA, 373 nt
Filed under: Phormidium sp. FACHB-1136
Lineage: Bacteria; Bacillati; Cyanobacteriota; Cyanophyceae; Oscillatoriales; Oscillatoriaceae
Description: RNase P RNA component class A
Rfam family: Bacterial RNase P class A
About the family: Ribonuclease P (RNase P) is a ubiquitous endoribonuclease, found in archaea, bacteria and eukarya as well as chloroplasts and mitochondria. Its best characterised activity is the generation of mature 5'-ends of tRNAs by cleaving the 5'-leader elements of precursor-tRNAs. Cellular RNase Ps are ribonucleoproteins.
Source: RNAcentral